This 254-nucleotide ribosomal RNA is filed under the name uncultured bacterium. RNAcentral describes it as "partial 16S ribosomal RNA". It matches the Rfam family "Bacterial small subunit ribosomal RNA", at positions 524 to 776 of the family's 1533-position model. The record is from RNAcentral.
UACGUAGGUGGCAAGCGUUGUCCGGAUUUACUGGGCGUAAAGAGCGCGCAGGCGGUCGUUCAAGUCGCGUGUGGAAGCCCCCGGCUCAACUGGGGAGGGUCACGCGAUACUGAUCGACUCGAAGGCAGGAGAGGGUAGUGGAAUUCCCGGUGUAGUGGUGAAAUGCGUAGAUAUCGGGAGGAACACCAGUGGCGAAGGCGACUACCUGGCCUGUUUCUUGACGCUGAGGCGCGAAAGCUAGGGGAGCAAACGGG